UCAAAUUUUGACAUGGAUAAACAAUUUUCUUUCUCACGUAUAUAGCUUAUAUGCCUUUAUUUUAGUAUGUAAGUAACUUAUUUCUUAUUAAAUGAGUUAGAUGAAUAAAUCAGGUCAAAUCAAAACCACGCUGUUUUCAUUCCUCUAAUCGGUGUUCUGGUUCAAAUGCUAAAAGAAACAAUUGUAAAAGUAAGUAAAAUUUGUUUUUAAAUGUCGAGUUAAAUUAAAGAUGUUCCCCAAUGUGUACAUUUCCAGGAAAAUGUAUUUUAACUUCCUUUUAUGCUCGUUCAUUGAAGAAAAGAACAAGGGUAACAGCGACGCACAAGAAGGGAUCACCACGGGACGAGCGAGACACUACUUUAAAUCGAGUAAGUACGUUAUUUCUAAUAUUUGCAAACGGUUUUUCAUUACUUUCUGAGAAAAAUUGAUAUGAAUGGCGGUAUGAGGAGUUCCAGCGGAAAGUAAUGUCUUUAACCAAUUACACUGUACCAGCAACAACUGAUGAAAUUGGGACGAACAACGAGUCCAAACGUUUGCCAAAAUUAAGAAGUUUUCAGCGUAAUUAUAUUCGUUUCCUUGUGGAAAACUACGCUCAGGAAACUUAGGCAGCAUUUAACUGGAAAGUGCUACACUACUCGCCUCAAGGCUGGUCGCAGUCGUUCACUUAUUGUCUAUUCAAGGAGGUUUUCGCAUUUUUACGGUGAUAACAACAUCUGCGACUGUCGCACGUAUAAAAAUUGCGUCCACCUGAGCGCCCAGAUUCCACAAGUUAAACCGUCCAGAUUCCACAUAUACGGUAAAUAAACCGCCCAGAUUCCACAAGUACGGUAUUGUG
Glossina fuscipes is the source of this 835-nucleotide long non-coding RNA. RefSeq lists it as uncharacterized. Lineage: Eukaryota; Metazoa; Arthropoda; Insecta; Diptera; Glossinidae. The record is from RefSeq and is a predicted model, not a curated record. The transcript is spliced from 2 exons.